Molecule: ribosomal RNA, 468 nt
Filed under: uncultured bacterium
Lineage: Bacteria
Description: partial 16S ribosomal RNA
Rfam family: Bacterial small subunit ribosomal RNA
Source: RNAcentral
GACGAACGCUGGCGGCGUGCUUAACACAUGUAAGUCGAACGGUGAAGCUCCAGCUUGCUGGAGUGGAUCAGUGGCGAACGGGUGAGUAACACGUGAGCAACCUGCCCCUGACUCUGGAAUAAGCGCUGGAAACGGCGUCUAAUACUGGAUACGAGAAGGGUCCGCAUGGGCACUUUCUGGAAAGUUUUUCGGUUGGGGAUGGGCUCGCGGCCUAUCAGCUUGUUGGUGAGGUAAUGGCUCACCAAGGCGACGACGGGUAGCCGGCCUGAGAGGGCGACCGGCCACACUGGGACUGAGACACGGCCCAGACUCCUACGGGAGGCAGCAGUGGGGAAUAUUGCACAAUGGGCGAAAGCCUGAUGCAGCGACGCCGCGUGAGGGAUGACGGCCUUCGGGUUGUAAACCUCUUUCAGCAGGGAAGAAGCGAAAGUGACGGUACCUGCAGAAGAAGCACCGGCUAACUACGUG